RNAcentral lists this ribosomal RNA (253 nucleotides) under uncultured bacterium. RNAcentral's name for it is "partial 16S ribosomal RNA". It matches the Rfam family "Bacterial small subunit ribosomal RNA", at positions 524 to 776 of the family's 1533-position model. The record is from RNAcentral.
UACGGAGGGGGCAAGCGUUAUCCGGAAUUAUUGGGCGUAAAGCGUCCGUAGGUGGCUAGUCAAGUCUGCGGUGAAAGCCUGAGGCUUAACCCUGGAAAGGCCGUGGAAACUGACGAGCUAGAGUGCAGUAGGGGUAGAGGGAAUUCCCGGUGUAGCGGUGAAAUGCGUAGAGAUCGGGAAGAACACCGGUGGCGAAAGCGCUUUACUGGACUGCAACUGACACUCAGGGACGAAAGCUAGGGGAGCGAAUGGG